Molecule: ribosomal RNA, 427 nt
Filed under: Bacteroidota bacterium
Lineage: Bacteria; Pseudomonadati; Bacteroidota
Description: Bacteroidetes bacterium partial 16S ribosomal RNA
Rfam family: Bacterial small subunit ribosomal RNA
Source: RNAcentral
UAGGGAAUCUUCCGCAAUGGGCGAAAGCCUGACGGAGCAACGCCGCGUGAGUGAUGAAGGUCUUCGGAUCGUAAAACUCUGUUAUUAGGGAAGAACAAAUGUGUAAGUAACUAUGCACGUCUUGACGGUACCUAAUCAGAAAGCCACGGCUAACUACGUGCCAGCAGCCGCGGUAAUACGUAGGUGGCAAGCGUUAUCCGGAAUUAUUGGGCGUAAAGCGCGCGUAGGCGGUUUUUUAAGUCUGAUGUGAAAGCCCACGGCUCAACCGUGGAGGGUCAUUGGAAACUGGAAAACUUGAGUGCAGAAGAGGAAAGUGGAAUUCCAUGUGUAGGUGAAAUGCGCAGAGAUAUGGAGGAACACCAGUGGCGAAGGCGACUUUCUGGUCUGUAACUGACGCUGAUGUGCGAAAGCGUGGGAAUCAAACAGG